RNAcentral lists this ribosomal RNA (335 nucleotides) under uncultured Pseudomonas sp. RNAcentral describes it as "bacterial SSU rRNA". It matches the Rfam family "Bacterial small subunit ribosomal RNA", at positions 71 to 408 of the family's 1533-position model. Lineage: Bacteria; Pseudomonadati; Pseudomonadota; Gammaproteobacteria; Pseudomonadales; Pseudomonadaceae. The record is from RNAcentral.
AGCAGAAGCUUGCUUCUCUUGAGAGCGGCGGUACGGGUGAGUAAAGCCUAGGAAUCUGCCUGGUAGUGGGGGAUAACGUUCGGAAACGGACGCUAAUACCGCAUACGUCCUACGGGAGAAAGCAGGGGACCUUCGGGCCUUGCGCUAUCAGAUGAGCCUAGGUCGGAUUAGCUAGUUGGUGAGGUAAUGGCUCACCAAGGCGACGAUCCGUAACUGGUCUGAGAGGAUGAUCAGUCACACUGGAACUGAGACACGGUCCAGACUCCUACGGGAGGCAGCAGUGGGGAAUAUUGGACAAUGGGCGAAAGCCUGAUCCAGCCAUGCCGCGUGUGUGA